Macadamia integrifolia is the source of this 2222-nucleotide long non-coding RNA. RefSeq lists it as uncharacterized. The record is from RefSeq and is a predicted model, not a curated record. The transcript is spliced from 2 exons. Lineage: Eukaryota; Viridiplantae; Streptophyta; Magnoliopsida; Proteales; Proteaceae.
GUACUCACUUAUACUUUUCCUAUUUUGUCCUUGCUCGGAUCCAUGUAGCCAACCCCAUUAAGUUGGGAUAUGGCUGAGUUUGUUGUUGUUGUUGUAGUAGUUUCAACAAUUUACUGGCACAGUUCUAAAUCUCGAAAAUUUCGCAAGAUUCAAUGGUUUCGACCCAACCCAAGAUAAGCAAGUUUCAGAAAUUUCGACCCUAUUUCGGUAAAUUUCAGAACAGCCUAGAAAAAUACCUGGUUUCAACCAGUGGUUUAAAAAAUUUCGACCUAAAGGUAGAAACCCGAGAUUUAGAACCAUAGUUACUGAUCAACUUUAGCUCCUAAAUGGCAGUGUGCUUAACCCCAGCUGAAGAAACACUCACAUGGCCUGGAACCCUAGUCCAAUAAAUUCAACUAUUUGUAGGAUUUUCUUGAAGAGAAAAAGAAAAAUAAAAAGAAUAAGAGAGUAAUAGAUCACAAAACCUAAGCUAAGAUUGCUUCACUAAAAAUAGAUCUUUCAUUCAGCCACCCAAACCCACAACUCCAGUAGGAAGGAAUUUACAUUGAGAGUUCAAUCACUACAAACAGACAAUGAAAAGUAGUAGAACUGUAGAAGUACAUGUAAGAAAAAUAUCACCAUAAUAUUUUAGCAUCAGGCAUGGUAAGUUUUAGCGCUAGUACUCGGACUUUCCAGUGAGGUGAUACUAAACUUAUAUUGCACAAUGUGAUACUGGUGUGGUGAAAUAAAUGGGUUAAAAGAGGUUGAAAUAAAUUGAAUUGCCCAAAAAUAGCUGCCAUUAUAACUCAAUUAAAACAUGUUCAUGAAGUAUUUGCCACGUAGCUUGCAAGCAUUCUAUAUUUAGUGAAUGCAACUGUCCUAAUUAAUACUCCAUUUAUUAUCUUUAUUUCCACGAGAUUCUUGAUUGAUGAUCACACAGCAGGGAGAAGAGAUAAGAGAAAAUACAACGAGAUUUUGAACCAUAUCGUCUCGUAUCUCAGUGAAGCUGAUAACCCUACAAGCUCCUCCUCUUCAUGGGCAAUUUGAGAAGUAACCCAUGCAAUGAUGCAAUCAUUAUUCAUUUCAACCCAAAAACCAAAACCACAAAGAGAAAGAUAGAAGAGAGAACAUUGAAGGGAGAAGUGAGAACAGGUUGGGUUAUCUUUUAUUCUUUUUUCUCAGUACUGAUCUAUAUCAACUUUAGUUUCAGGAUUUCCUUAAAGGAGUUGGAUACUACUAGAUUUGAUUCUUCUUGCAAACCAAGUACAAGCACAGCAUCACACACAUAUCACACACACCGACUAAUCCAGCAAUGAAUGAAGUCACCCAGUUGCCUGCACUUGUAACUUCAAUAUUUACUACUUGCCUUUUUUAUGCAAUUAAUAAAUUUCUCGGCCUCAAUUUACGCUCAUCUUUGACCGAUAUUCAAUUCUAUUCAAAUCUUUCUCCUUACUUUAAAUCUCUCAAUUUCUCCCUAUAGUCUCCAACCCUCCCUAAUAAUUAAUUAAGAUUUAAAGAAAACCCAUCUCUCUCUCUCUCUUCCAUUCCUCCCUUAUAUAAAUGGCCUUAAGAGGUCUAACAACAACAACUUGACCAUUCUUGUGUUGGUGCAAAAGUGGUGGAGACAUUGGAAACCACUCACCUUUAAGAUAAGUUUGCAGAGACAAGCAUGAGUCAAAACGGAAAGAGUCCAAAGCUGGAUUUGAAGCUGAACCUUUCACCACCAAGGGUGAACCCAAGAGUGGAAUCACCGAACCAAUCAGGAUCUAUGUCGCCACAGAGUUCAUGUGUGUCUUCAGAGCUGACUCAGCUGAGCCAAAUUGAUCAGACCAUUGAGUUCUCCAACAGCCCAGAUGCAACACCCAUGAUGUUGCUGGCUUGUCUUGGUUGCCACAUGUAUGUGAUGACCCCGGAGAAGGACCCCAAAUGCCCCAAGUGCAAGGGUACUGUUUUAUUUGAUUUCCUCAAUGACCCCAAUAUCACCAACAAGAAGCCUAGGAAGAACUAGGAUGAUGAUGCUGAUGCUGAUGCUGCUGUUGAUGGUUUUUCUCUCUUUAGAUACUUAGGACCCCCCAUCCCAACCCCUCUAUGGUCAUAGUUUUUGUUUUUGUCCGCUCCCAUUUUGUAUCUCUUCUUACAAUAAUAGAACGGCAGCAAUAACGAUAUAUAGAUAGCAGUUCUGUUUUCAGUUCAGUUGGGCUUCCUUCUUUUAAGCAGAUGACAAUGUAAACAGGUUACCUGCA